CACGCCGUAAACGAUGGGUACUAGGUGUGGGUAGUUCACUCUAUCCGUGCCGCAGCAAACGCAUUAAGUACCCCGCCUGGGGAGUACGGCCGCAAGGUUAAAACUCAAAGGAAUUGACGGGGGCCCGCACAAGCAGUGGAGUAUGUGGUUUAAUUCGAAGCAACGCGAAGAACCUUACCAGGGCUUGACAUCCUCGGACGACACUAGAGAUAGUGUUUUCUCUUCGGAGACUGAGAGACAGGUGG
This 245-nucleotide ribosomal RNA is filed under the name uncultured Clostridia bacterium. RNAcentral's name for it is "partial 16S ribosomal RNA". It matches the Rfam family "Bacterial small subunit ribosomal RNA", at positions 796 to 1041 of the family's 1533-position model. Lineage: Bacteria; Bacillati; Bacillota; Clostridia. The record is from RNAcentral.